UUCCAGACUCCUACGGGAGGCAGCAGUGAGGAAUAUUGGUCAAUGGGCGAGAGCCUGAACCAGCCAAGUCGCGUGAGGGAAGACUGCCCUAUGGGUUGUAAACCUCUUUUGUCAGGGAGCAAUUGGCGCUACGUGUAGCGUUAUCGAGAGUACCUGAAGAAAAAGCAUCGGCUAACUCCGUGCCAGCAGCCGCGGUAAUACGGAGGAUGCGAGCGUUAUCCGGAUUUAUUGGGUUUAAAGGGUGCGUAGGCGGAAUGCCAAGUCAGCGGUAAAAUCGCGGGGCUCAACCCCGCCCAGCCGUCGGAACUGCCGGGCUAGAGUGGGCGAGAAGUGCGCGGAAUGCGUGGUGUAGCGGUGAAAUGCAUAGAUAUCACGCAGAACUCCGAUUGCGAAGGCAGCGCACCGGCGCCCUACUGACGCUCAGGCACGAAAGCGUGGGUAUCGAACAGGAUUAGAUACCCUCGUAACC
This 469-nucleotide ribosomal RNA is filed under the name uncultured bacterium. RNAcentral describes it as "bacterial SSU rRNA". It matches the Rfam family "Bacterial small subunit ribosomal RNA", at positions 329 to 796 of the family's 1533-position model. The record is from RNAcentral.